UUCCUUUCAUGUUUUAUUUCGUUUUCAUUUUGUUCAUGUUUUCCUUCAUCGUUUUUGGCUUUCGUUUUUGCUUCUGUUGUCGUAGUAUUUUGUUUUUAUUGUUUACCUGUGUGUACAGAGUGAUGAGAAAUUGUUGGACGAAUCCGGGAUCGAUUGUAGUGGAUGAAAGACACUCCCCAUACUUGUUCUGUUAAGGUACCCCGGAAGUUGAUGCAACCAUGAGAAAGUAAAAGUCGGACACAAUUUGGUGACACUGGACCGAGAGAGUGGUAUGGUAGAACCGAAUCGGAAAAGAAACUACAUGACACUAGGAGGCUUCAGAGCUUGUAAGUUUAACCAACAUGGUGAGAAUACAAAGGCCAAACACUAAAUAUCAUCAUGAGAGUUCAUCCAGGUAU
Molecule: long non-coding RNA, 398 nt
Filed under: Lathyrus oleraceus (garden pea)
Lineage: Eukaryota; Viridiplantae; Streptophyta; Magnoliopsida; Fabales; Fabaceae
Description: Pisum sativum (pea) long non-coding RNA (PSAT_LNC028569)
Source: RNAcentral